RNAcentral lists this ribosomal RNA (252 nucleotides) under uncultured bacterium. RNAcentral describes it as "partial 16S ribosomal RNA". It matches the Rfam family "Bacterial small subunit ribosomal RNA", at positions 524 to 774 of the family's 1533-position model. The record is from RNAcentral.
UACGUAGGGUGCAAGCGUUAAUCGGAAUUACUGGGCGUAAAGCGUGCGCAGGCGGUUGUGCAAGACAGAUGUGAAAUCCCCGGGCUCAACCUGGGAACUGCAUUUGUGACUGCACUGGCUGGAGUGCGGCAGAGGGGGAUGGAAUUCCGCGUGUAGCAGUGAAAUGCGUAGAUAUGCGGAGGAACACCGAUGGCGAAGGCAAUCCCCUGGGCCUGCACUGACGCUCAUGCACGAAAGCGUGGGGAGCAAACA